GCGUGCGGGAGGAAGCCCCUCGGGGUGUAAACCGUUGUCAGGAGGGAAGAAAACGAUCGGACGAAUAAUCCGGUCACUUGACGGUACCUCCAGAGGAAGCGCCGGCUAACUCCGUGCCAGCAGCCGCGGUAAUACGGAGGGCGCAAGCGUCGUCCGGAAUCACUGGGCGUAAAGGGGGCGCAGGCGGCUUGCUAAGUCCUGUGUGAAAUCCCACGGCUCAACCGUGGAAGGCCACAGGAUACUGGCGAGCUCGAGACGGGUAGAGGCGAGUGGAAUUCCCGGUGUAGCGGUGGAAUGCGU
This 300-nucleotide ribosomal RNA is filed under the name uncultured bacterium. RNAcentral's name for it is "bacterial SSU rRNA". It matches the Rfam family "Bacterial small subunit ribosomal RNA", at positions 399 to 691 of the family's 1533-position model. The record is from RNAcentral.